Molecule: ribosomal RNA, 497 nt
Filed under: uncultured bacterium
Lineage: Bacteria
Description: partial 16S ribosomal RNA
Rfam family: Bacterial small subunit ribosomal RNA
Source: RNAcentral
GAUGAACGCUGGCGGCGUGCCUAAUACAUGCAAGUCGAGCGAACGGACGAGAAGCUUGCUUCUCUGAUGUUAGCGGCGGACGGGUGAGUAACAUGUGGAUAACCUACCUAUAAGACUGGGAUAACUUCGGGAAACCGUAGCUAAUACCGGAUAAUAUUUUGAACCGCAUGGUUCAAAAGUGAAAGACGGUCUUGCUGUCACUUAUAGAUGGAUCCGCGCUGCAUUAGCUAGUUGGUAAGGUAACGGCUUACCAAGGCAACGAUGCAUAGCCGACCUGAGAGGGUGAUCAGCCACACUGGAACUGAGACACGGUCCAGACUCCUACGGGAGGCAGCAGUAGGGAAUCUUCCGCAAUGGGCGAAAGCCUGACGGAGCAACGCCGCGUGAGUGAUGAAGGUCUUCGGAUCGUAAAACUCUGUUAUUAGGGAAGAACAUAUGUGUAAGUAACUGUGCACAUCUUGACGGUACCUAAUCAGAAAGCCACGGCUAACUACGUG